CGAAAGCCUGACGGAGCAAUACCGCGUGAGGGAGGAAAGCCUUUGGGUUGUAAACCCCUUUUCUCAGGGAAGAAGAAAGUGACGGUACCUGAGGAAUCAGCAUCGGCUAACUCCGUGCCAGCAGCCGCGGUAAUACGGAGGAGGCAAGCGUUAUCCGGAAUGAUUGGGCGUAAAGCGUCCGCAGGCGGCUAAUCAAGUCUGCUGUUAAAGGCCGAGGCUUAACCUCGGUUGAGCAGUGGAAACUGAUGAACUAGAGUGCGAUAGGGGUAGAGGGAAUUCCCAGUGUAGCGGUGAAAUGCGUAGAUAUUGGGAAGAACACCAGUGGCGAAGGCGCUCUACUGGGUCGCAACUGACGCUCAGGGACGAAAGCUAGGGGAGCG
This 380-nucleotide ribosomal RNA is filed under the name uncultured cyanobacterium. Its description in RNAcentral is "bacterial SSU rRNA". It matches the Rfam family "Bacterial small subunit ribosomal RNA", at positions 376 to 770 of the family's 1533-position model. The record is from RNAcentral. Lineage: Bacteria; Bacillati; Cyanobacteriota.